ACGGGUGAGGAAUACAUCGGAAUCUACCUUUUCGUGGGGGGUAACGUAGGGAAACUUACGCUAAUACCGCAUACGACCUACGGGUGAAAGUGGGGGACCGCAAGGCCUCACGCGAUUAGAUGAGCCGAUGUCCGAUUAGCUAGUUGGCGGGGUAAUGGCCCACCAAGGCGACGAUCGGUAGCUGGUCUGAGAGGAUGAUCAGCCACACUGGAACUGAGACACGGUCCAGACUCCUACGGGAGGCAGCAGUGGGGAAUAUUGGACAAUGGGCGCAAGCCUGAUCCAGCCAUACCGCGUGGGUGAAGAAGGCCUUCGGGUUGUAAAGCCCUUUUGUUGGGAAAGAAAUCCUAUCGGUUAAUAACCGGUGGGGAUGACGGUACCCAAAGAAUAAGCACCGGCUAACUUCGUGCCAGCAGCCGCGGUAAUACGAAGGGUGCAAGCGUUACUCGGAAUUACUGGGCGUAAAGCGUGCGUAGGUGGUGGUUUAAGUCUGCUGUGAAAGCCCUGGGCUCAACCUGGGAAUUGCAGUGGAUACUGGAUCACUAGAGUGUGGUAGAGGGAUGCGGAAUUUCUGGU
This 576-nucleotide ribosomal RNA is filed under the name uncultured bacterium. RNAcentral's name for it is "bacterial SSU rRNA". It matches the Rfam family "Bacterial small subunit ribosomal RNA", at positions 102 to 674 of the family's 1533-position model. The record is from RNAcentral.